RNAcentral lists this ribosomal RNA (207 nucleotides) under uncultured bacterium. Its description in RNAcentral is "partial 16S ribosomal RNA". It matches the Rfam family "Bacterial small subunit ribosomal RNA", at positions 568 to 774 of the family's 1533-position model. The record is from RNAcentral.
UGCGCAGGCGGUUAUGUAAGACAGAUGUGAAAUCCCCGGGCUCAACCUGGGACCUGCAUUUGUGACUGCAUAGCUAGAGUGCGGCAGAGGGGGAUGGAAUUCCGCGUGUAGCAGUGAAAUGCGUAGAUAUGCGGAGGAACACCGAUGGCGAAGGCAAUCCCCUGGGCCUGCACUGACGCUCAUGCACGAAAGCGUGGGGAGCAAACA